Octopus sinensis (East Asian common octopus) is the source of this 102-nucleotide long non-coding RNA. RefSeq lists it as uncharacterized. The record is from RefSeq and is a predicted model, not a curated record. The transcript is spliced from 3 exons. Lineage: Eukaryota; Metazoa; Mollusca; Cephalopoda; Octopoda; Octopodidae.
CAUGAAAUGAAUAUUGGAUAUAAAGAUUAUCUUUUGGUAUUAAUACUGCAUCCAUCACUAAUAAUUAAGUUUUAAUAAGCUUGCUGACUAUUUGUGACAUAA